AGUGGCGGACGGGUGAGUAACGCGUGAGAAUCUGCCUUGGGGUCGGGGACAACCACUGGAAACGGUGGCUAAUACCGGAUAAGCCGAUUGGUGAAAGAUUUAUUGCCCGAAGAGGAGCUCGCGUCUGAUUAGCUAGUUGGUGAGGUAAGAGCUCACCAAGGCAGCGAUCAGUAGCUGGUCUGAGAGGACGAUCAGCCACACUGGGACUGAGACACGGCCCAGACUCCUACGGGAGGCAGCAGUGGGGAAUUUUCCGCAAUGGGCGAAAGCCUGACGGAGCAAGACCGCGUGAGGGAGGAAGGCUCUUGGGUUGUAAACCUCUUUUCUCAGGGAAGAAGCUCUGACGGUACCUGAGGAAUCAGCCUCGGCUAACUCCGUGCCAGCAGCCGCGGUAAUACGGAGGAGGCAAGCGUUAUCCGGAAUUAUUGGGCGUAAAGCGUCCGCAGGUGGCGAUUCAAGUCUGCUGUCAAAGCACGGGGCUUAACUCCGUAAAGGCAGUGGAAACUGAAUAGCUAGAGUGCCGUAGGGGUAGAGGGAAUUCCCGGUGUAGCGGUGAAAUGCGUAGAGAUCGGGAAGAACAUCGGUGGCGAAAGCGCUCUACUGGACGGCAACUGACACUCAGGGACGAAAGCUAGGGGAGCAAAUGGGAUUAGAUACCCC
RNAcentral lists this ribosomal RNA (660 nucleotides) under uncultured bacterium. Its description in RNAcentral is "bacterial SSU rRNA". It matches the Rfam family "Bacterial small subunit ribosomal RNA", at positions 94 to 788 of the family's 1533-position model. The record is from RNAcentral.